This 253-nucleotide ribosomal RNA is filed under the name uncultured bacterium. Its description in RNAcentral is "partial 16S ribosomal RNA". It matches the Rfam family "Bacterial small subunit ribosomal RNA", at positions 524 to 776 of the family's 1533-position model. The record is from RNAcentral.
UACGUAUGGUGCGAGCGUUGUCCGGAAUUAUUGGGCGUAAAGGGCUCGUAGGCGGUUUGUCGCGUCGGGAGUGAAAUCCACUGGCUUAACUGGUGGCUUGCUUUCGAUACGGGCAGACUGGAGGUAUGCAGGGGAGAACGGAAUUCCUGGUGUAGCGGUGAAAUGCGCAGAUAUCAGGAGGAACACCGGUGGCGAAGGCGGGUCUCUGGGCAAUAACUGACGCUGAGGAGCGAAAGCGUGGGGAGCGAACAGG